UUUGAAACGGAUUAAAAACGAAUUUUUCCGUUUCUAAUCCAACAACACAAGUAUCGGUUUCAGAAUUUAGAAACCGAUUUGCAACGGAAUUUCUGUUUCAAAAAAAUUGAAACCGAAAUAUCAGUUUUUAAAUUAAAACGGAAUUUGAAACCGAAUAUAUGCGGUUUCUAAAUUUGAAACGGAAUAGUGGUUUGAAAAUAGAUUCAGAAUUUGAAACGGACGCCAUUUUCCGUUUCAAAUUCAUUUAGAAACUUGCGGAUUUAAAACUGAAUAUUUCGGUUUCAAAUCGGUUUCUAAAUGUAUUUAGAAACCGAUUUUAACUGAUUUGAAACCGAAUAUUCGG
RNAcentral lists this unclassified non-coding RNA (343 nucleotides) under Hevea brasiliensis (rubber tree). Lineage: Eukaryota; Viridiplantae; Streptophyta; Magnoliopsida; Malpighiales; Euphorbiaceae. The record is from RNAcentral.